Molecule: long non-coding RNA, 1150 nt
Organism: Xiphophorus couchianus (Monterrey platyfish)
Lineage: Eukaryota; Metazoa; Chordata; Actinopteri; Cyprinodontiformes; Poeciliidae
Exons: 2
Source: RefSeq, a predicted model, not a curated record
GUUUCUGCAGGGAAUGAAUAUUACAAGAUAGAUGCUCAUCUCUUUUAGAACCUUCCCAUUUGGCCGUACGAGGAUCCAAGUUUGACUUGCACAAUGCGAGAUCACUUCCCAGCCAUGCUGACAUCAUCAAAACCUGGAAGUGACUGGCACAAGUUAGGUGAAACAACAUUCUCCCAGUGUGAAAAAAAGUGAGUUAAAAAAAUAUUAGAACAGCAACAGAAAUGUGCACAUUAGUUUGGUCCUUAACACGCACUUCCAGAAAACUGCAGAUGAAAAUGCAAUCCCCUUGCUUAUCACUUUUGUUUUUUUAUUCCUUCUAAUGUAAAUUUGUCCACUCAUGCACAAAAUACUGUCCCUUUCAGCCAUUUAAGAUAAAAUAAGCUAUACUGUCUUUACUUCCAUUGGUGUUUGUCUUUUUAUUAGCUUAUGCUAUAAAAACCAUGAUACAAGCAUGAAAUUAAUUUAUCUACAAUUUGAGUAAAUGUAUCUUUGUUUUAGCCAUGUCUGUGAACCUUAGGACUAAUGCCUGUGAAUUGUAAAACAAUAAGGUUUCUAUUCUAUUCUAUUCUAUUCUAUUCUAUUCUGUCCUCAAUCUAGUCGGUUUUCCUAGAACAGGAAGACUUUUUACUUUGCAAUCUGCAAUCAUCUGUGCCUUUCAUAGGUUUAAAAGGGGGUCAGAAAGAGACAGCAGGGGAGGAAAGGAGAGUCAUGCGUGGAUAGAUGGGUUGGAAGGAGCAGCAAGCUGUGACUCUUGGACAUGUUCUGGUGGGUGCGCUGAACCCCGGAGGCUGCAGCCACACUCGGCUCUUUGUUGUUUUCGUUCUGCACAGCCAGGCACGGUACUUUCCUGGGCCGGGGAGGAGGAUUAGCGUUGCAUGGCCUCCAUCCCCAGCUGCACACAUGACCAGCGCUGCAGGAAAGCCCCGCAUGAUGGCCCAAAAAGAGGUGCGUCAGGGCUGAAGGGAGCUGGGAGAGGCAAGGAGCGACCAGCUUUCUUUCGUCCAUUACUGCAAAAUGUUGUGGACUUUUUAAACACUAAUCAUUUAAAAUAACAUGCUUCUUUCUGGAAGUGCAAUUUAAUGUUGAUUUUUCUCCCUAAAGCAAUCUGUUCCCCUUUUAUUAUUACUACUUGUGCUGCAACAUUUUUACC